UCCGGUUUGUCACCGGCAGUCCCAUUAGAGUGCUCAACUGAAUGUAGCAACUAAUGGCAAGGGUUGCGCUCGUUGCGGGACUUAACCCAACAUCUCACGACACGAGCUGACGACAGCCAUGCAGCACCUGUGUUCCGGUUCCCUUUCGGGCACUCCUGCAUCUCUGCAGGAUUCCGGACAUGUCAAGGGUAGGUAAGGUGGGGAUGACGUCGCGGCAUUAGCCA
RNAcentral lists this unclassified non-coding RNA (224 nucleotides) under uncultured Gammaproteobacteria bacterium. Its description in RNAcentral is "contains 16S-23S intergenic spacer region". The record is from RNAcentral. Lineage: Bacteria; Pseudomonadati; Pseudomonadota; Gammaproteobacteria.